RNAcentral lists this small nuclear RNA (314 nucleotides) under Erinaceus europaeus (western European hedgehog). RNAcentral describes it as "7SK RNA". It matches the Rfam family "7SK RNA". Rfam says of the family: 7SK was discovered as an abundant small nuclear RNA in the mid-70s but a possible function has only recently been suggested. Two independent studies have found that 7SK RNA binds the CDK9/cyclin T complex (known as elongation factor P-TEFb). The record is from Rfam by way of RNAcentral. Lineage: Eukaryota; Metazoa; Chordata; Mammalia; Eulipotyphla; Erinaceidae.
GGAUGUGAAGGCGAUCUGAUUGCAACAUCUGUCACCCUAUUGAUCGCCAGGGUUGAUUUGGCUGAUCUGGUUGGCAAGGCGGGUGUCCCCUUCCUCCCUCCCUGCUCCAUGUGCAUCCCUCCCGAAGCUGCUAGCUCAGUUGAAGAGGACAGCCUUCCCCGAAUAGAGACGGACUGGUUUUUUGGUUGAGGCUAUAUGAGUAGCUGUGCAUCCCUGCUAGAACCUCCAAGAAAGCUCCAAAAAGACCAGAGACAUAACAUGUUCACAGGUAUUUCCUACAUAGCUGACAAAUGUGGCAAAAUGCUCCACCUUCU